This 1227-nucleotide long non-coding RNA is filed under the name Salmo salar (Atlantic salmon). Its description in RNAcentral is "lncRNA (ENSSSAG00000085745.1)". Lineage: Eukaryota; Metazoa; Chordata; Actinopteri; Salmoniformes; Salmonidae. The record is from RNAcentral.
UCUGACUUAGGGUCUAUGGAAUCUGAUUUAGUGUCUAUGGAAUCCGAUUUAGGGUCCAUGGAAUCUGAUUUAGGGUCUAUGGAGUCUGAUUUAGGGUCUAUGGAAUCUGAUUUAGGGUCUAUGGAAUCUGAUUUAGGGUCUAUGGAAUCUGAUUUAGGGUCUAUGGAAUCUGAUUUAGCGUCUAUGGAAUCUGAUUUAGGGUCUAUCGAAUCUGAUUUAGAGUCUACGGAAUCUGAUUUAGCGUCUAUGGAAUCUGAUUUAUUGUCUAUGGAACUUGAUUUAGGGUCUAUGGAAUCUGACUUAGGGUCUAUGGAAUCUGACUUAGGGUCUAUGGAAUCUUAUUUAGUGUCUAUGGAAUCCGAUUUAGGGUCUAUGGAAUCUGAUUUAAGGUCCAUGGAAUCAGAUUUAUGGUCUAUGGAAUCUGACUUACGGUCUAUGGAAUCUGACUUAGGGUCUAUGGAAUCUGAUUUAGGGUCUAUGGAAUCUGAUUUAGGGUCUAUGGAAUCUGAUUUAGGGUCUAUGGAAUCUGACUUGGGGUCCAUGGAAUCUGAUUUAGGGUCUAUGGAAUUUGAUUCAGGGUCUAUGGAAUCUGAUUUAGGGUCUAUGGAAUCUGAUUUAGGGUCUAUGGAAUCUGAUUUAGGGUCUAUGGAAUCUGAUUUAGGGUCUAUGGAAUCUGAUUUAGGGUCUAUGGAAUCUGAUUUAGGGUCUAUGGAAUCUGAUUUAGGGUCUAUGGAAUCUGAUUUAGCGCCUAUGGAAUCUGAUUUAGGGUCUAUGGAAUCUGAUUUAGAGUCUAUGGAAUCUGACUUAGGGUCUAUGGAAUCUGAUUUAUGGUCUAUGGAAUCUGAUUUAGGGUCUAUGGAAUCUGACUUAGGGUCUAUGGAAUCUGAGUUAGGGUCUGUGGAAUCUUAUUUAGUGUCUAUGGAAUCCGAUUUAGGGUCUAUGGAAUCUGAUUUAAGGUCCAUGGAAUCAGAUUUAUGGUCUAUGGAAUCUGACUUAGGGUCUAUGGAAUCUGACUUAGGGUCUAUGGAAUCUGACUUAGGUCUAUGGAAUCUGAUUUAGGGUCUAUGGAAUCUGAUUUAGGGUCUAUGGAAUCUGAUUUAGGGUCUAUGGAAUCUGACUUGGGGUCCAUGGAAUCUGAUUUAGGGUCUAUGGAAUCUGAUUCAGGGUCUAUUGAAUCUGUUUUAGGGUCUAUGGAAUCUGAUUCAGGGUCUAUGGAAUCUGAUUUAG